UUCCCAAAGGGUAAGUAUUACCCUUUGGGAACCAUGUAGCAGGCAGCA
This 48-nucleotide non-coding RNA is filed under the name unclassified sequences. RNAcentral's name for it is "ssNA-helicase RNA". It matches the Rfam family "ssNA-helicase RNA". Rfam says of the family: Firmicutes, Actinobacteria (1 example). Downstream gene The record is from Rfam by way of RNAcentral.